RNAcentral lists this ribosomal RNA (470 nucleotides) under uncultured Planctomycetaceae bacterium. RNAcentral's name for it is "bacterial SSU rRNA". It matches the Rfam family "Bacterial small subunit ribosomal RNA", at positions 29 to 505 of the family's 1533-position model. The record is from RNAcentral. Lineage: Bacteria; Pseudomonadati; Planctomycetota; Planctomycetia; Planctomycetales; Planctomycetaceae.
AAUGAACGUUGGCGGCGUGGAUUAGGCAUGCAAGUCGUGCGAGAAGUCUUUUGCUUGCAUUAGACGGAAAGCGGCGAAAGGGAGAGUAACGCGUGGAUACCUACCUCCAGGUUCGGGAUAGCUGCGGGAAACUGCAGGUAAUACCGAAUAACAUCUCCGGAUCAAAGGUGUGAUUCCGCCUGGAGACGGAUCCGCGUCCUAUUAGCUUGUUGGUGGGGUAACGGCCUACCAAGGCUACGAUGGGUACCGGGCGUGAGAGCGUGACCCGGCUCACUGGGACUGAGACACUGCCCAGACACCUACGGGUGGCUGCAGUCGAGAAUCUUUGGCAAUGGACGAAAGUCUGACCAAGCGACGCCGCGUGCGGGAUGAAGGCCCUCGGGUUGUAAACCGCUGUCAGUUGGGAGGAAAUCGCAUGGGGUCAUCCCCAUGCGUUGACCUAUCUUCAGAGGAAGGACGGGCUAAGUUCG